Long non-coding RNA from Mastomys coucha (southern multimammate mouse), 684 nucleotides. RefSeq lists it as uncharacterized. Lineage: Eukaryota; Metazoa; Chordata; Mammalia; Rodentia; Muridae. The transcript is spliced from 2 exons. The record is from RefSeq and is a predicted model, not a curated record.
GGGCGGGGGGCGGAAGAGGGCACGCUCCCCGCCAGUUUUGUGACGUCACAGAGGUCAGACGUUUCCCUUCCAUUUGGCGCGGCUUGCCUAUUGGUUCCACGCGUGCGCGCGCCCCGUGACCACGCCCUGUGGCUGGUGAAGGCACUGGAAUCUUCUCAUCAAGUUACAUAACUACAAUAUUGAAAGAGGACCUUCUGCUUCAUCACACCCUUCCAUUAUGGAUACUUGUUUCAUAGAUCUCACAUCUGUUGUGUAAAACGGAGUGAUUUGAAUCAGCACUCACUGAGAAACUCCUGACCCUGGCUAUCAGCUGCCAGUUCUGAGCUCAGCUUGGUGAUUCUGCUGUGGGUCAUACCUGGCCUCAGCUGGGUAGCUUCAGGCAGUGGGUGGGUCAGCCAGAAGCAGGCUGAUCUUGGAGGGCUUCAUCCACAUGCCUGGUAGUUGACCUCCAGUGCAGAGAAAGUAUCUACAUCAUCGGUACGCGAUGCCAGGCUUUUCACUGACUGCUGGGUUCCAGAAACAGAAAAGAUGGCAACACCCAAUGAGCACAGUUUUCCAAGGCCACUGUUUGUGCCGUGUUUGCUAAAGCAAUGCACAUGAAGAAACUCACAUGCCAGGAGGUAAAGUGCCAUGAUCAUCUCUUGGUGAGAGGGAUGAUAAUUUAUUAAUAAAUUGAAGCAUAUA